Molecule: ribosomal RNA, 435 nt
Filed under: Triticum aestivum (bread wheat)
Lineage: Eukaryota; Viridiplantae; Streptophyta; Magnoliopsida; Poales; Poaceae
Description: partial small subunit ribosomal RNA
Source: RNAcentral
AUGCGUGAUCAGGUCGACAUCGACCUGGACGGCUUCCCCCUCGACCACGAGUUCCCGGACGACUAUGGGCUAGAGGAAGAGGACGAGUGCGACAUUGAAGUGGAGCCUUUGUUCGAGGAUGAGCUCGCCAACCAAACCGCCGGUCCUAAGCCGAAGCGCAAGAGCAAGCGCACGAAGGCGUACACAGCUGCCGAGGACAAGCUUCUUUGCGAGUGUUGGCGAGACACUGGACAAGACCCAAAGACGGGCGCCGAGCAAAAGCAUUCAACCUUUUGGACUCGUGUGCACCGCGAGUUUCAUGAGCGCAAGAAGUUUCCACCUUACCAAUUUGUGAGCACGCGCGGGUGGGUCUCCAUUGUUGGGGAACGUAGCAGAAAUUCAAAAUUUUCCUACGUGUCACCAAGAUCUAUCUAUGGAGAAACUAGCUACGAGUAG